CAGUCGCCACGGGAAUACGAAGGGGGCUAGCGUUGCUCGGAAUUACUGGGCGUAAAGGGAGCGUAGGCGGAUCGUUUAGUCAGGGGUGAAAUCCCGGGGCUCAACCUCGGAACUGCCUUUGAUACUGGCGAUCUUGAGUAUGGGAGAGGUGUGUGGAACUCCGAGUGUAGAGGUGAAAUUCGUAGAUAUUCGGAAGAACACCAGUGGCGAAGGCGACACACUGGCCCAUUACUGACGCUGAGGAGCGAAAGCGUGGGGAGCGAACAGGAUUAGAUACCCGCGUAGUCCCUGUCUCUUAUAC
Molecule: ribosomal RNA, 301 nt
Filed under: uncultured bacterium
Lineage: Bacteria
Description: partial 16S ribosomal RNA
Rfam family: Bacterial small subunit ribosomal RNA
Source: RNAcentral